RNAcentral lists this ribosomal RNA (377 nucleotides) under uncultured bacterium. RNAcentral's name for it is "bacterial SSU rRNA". It matches the Rfam family "Bacterial small subunit ribosomal RNA", at positions 523 to 898 of the family's 1533-position model. The record is from RNAcentral.
AUACGUAGGUGGCGAGCGUUGUCCGGAAUUAUUGGGCGUAAAGGGCGUGUAGGCGGCUAUUUAAGUCAGAUGUGAAAAUCCAAGGCUUAACCAUGGAACUGCAUUUGAAACUGGAUGGCUUGAGGAUCGGAGAGGGCAGUGGAAUUCCCAGUGUAGCGGUGAAAUGCGUAGAUAUUGGGAGGAACACCAGUGGCGAAGGCGACUGCCUGGACGACACCUGACGCUGAGGCGCGAAAGCUAGGGGAGCAAACGGGAUUAGAUACCCCGGUAGUCCUAGCCGUAAACGAUGGGUACUAGGUGUGGGAGGUAUCGACCCCUUCCGUGCCGCAGUUAACACAAUAAGUACCCCGCCUGGGGAGUACGGCCGCAAGGUUGAA